Non-coding RNA from Trichonephila inaurata madagascariensis, 73 nucleotides. The record is from the annotation of a GenBank genome assembly. NCBI's taxonomy places the organism in Eukaryota, Metazoa, Arthropoda, Arachnida, Araneae, Nephilidae.
AUCCCUUUAGCGCAAUGGAUAGCGUAUUGGACUUUUAAUCCGAAAGCUGUGGGUUCGAAUCCCACCUGGGAUG